AGUGAACGCUGGCGGUAGGCCUAACACAUGCAAGUCGAACGGCAGCACAGUAAGAGCUUGCUCUUACGGGUGGCGAGAGGCGGACGGGUGAGGAAUACAUCGGAAUCUACUUUUUCGUGGGGGAUAACGUAGGGAAACUUACGCUAAUACCGCACACGACCUACGGGUGAAAGCAGGGGAUCUUCGGACCUUGCGCGAUUGAAUGAGCCGAUGUCGGAUUAGCUAGUUGGCGGGGUAAAGGCCCCCCAAGGCGACGAUCCGUAGCUGGUCUGAGAGGAUGAUCAGCCCCACUGGAACUGAGACACGGUCCAGGCUCCUACGGGAGGCAGCAGUGCGGAAUAUUGGACAAUGGGCGCAAGCCUGAUCCAGCCAGACCGCGUGGGUGAAGAAGGCCUUCGGGUUGUAAAGCCCUUUUGUUGGGAAAGAAAAGCAGCAGGUUAAUACCCCGCUGUUCUGACGGUACCCAAAGAAUAAGCACCGGCUAACUUCGUG
Molecule: ribosomal RNA, 492 nt
Filed under: uncultured bacterium
Lineage: Bacteria
Description: partial 16S ribosomal RNA
Rfam family: Bacterial small subunit ribosomal RNA
Source: RNAcentral